CCCAGCUGGAGGCAAUGGCCUAGGACACCUUGUACCUAGGCAAGUGUUACACUGCUGGGAGAAAAGCAGCGAGUAGCUGGUGGGCAUUCCGGACAUGAUUAAUGCCAAAUUUGUGUUAAUUACAGUGUGCCAGCAUA
RNAcentral lists this small nucleolar RNA (137 nucleotides) under Ochotona princeps (American pika). Its description in RNAcentral is "Small nucleolar RNA SNORA74 (ENSOPRG00000023200.1)". The record is from RNAcentral. Lineage: Eukaryota; Metazoa; Chordata; Mammalia; Lagomorpha; Ochotonidae.